AUUGAAUGCUGGCGGCAGGCCUAACACAUGCAAGUCGAGCGGCAGCGGGAAAGUAGCUUGCUACUUUUGCCGGCGAGCGGCGGACGGGUGAGUAAUGCCUGGGAAAUUGCCCAGUCGAGGGGGAUAACAGUUGGAAACGACUGCUAAUACCGCAUACGCCCUACGGGGGAAAGCAGGGGACCUUAGGGCCUUGCGCGAUUGGAUAUGCCCAGGUGGGAUUAGCUAGUUGGUGAGGUAAUGGCUCACCAAGGCGACGAUCCCUAGCUGGUCUGAGAGGAUGAUCAGCCACACUGGAACUGAGACACGGUCCAGACUCCUACGGGAGGCAGCAGUGGGGAAUAUUGCACAAUGGGGGAAACCCUGGUGCAGCCAUGCCGCGUGUGUGAAGAAGGCCUUCGGGUUGUAAAGCACUUUCAGCGAGGAGGAAAGGUUGAUGCCUAAUACGUAUCAACUGUGACGUUACUCGCAGAAGAAGCACCGGCUAACUCCGUGCCAGCAGCCGCCGUAA
Molecule: ribosomal RNA, 508 nt
Filed under: uncultured bacterium
Lineage: Bacteria
Description: partial 16S ribosomal RNA
Rfam family: Bacterial small subunit ribosomal RNA
Source: RNAcentral